Molecule: unclassified non-coding RNA, 378 nt
Filed under: soil metagenome
Description: partial contains 5.8S ribosomal RNA, internal transcribed spacer 2, and large subunit ribosomal RNA
Rfam family: 5.8S ribosomal RNA (bases 1-120)
Source: RNAcentral
GAUGAAGAACGUAGCGAAAUGCGAUAAGUAAUGUGAAUUGCAGAAUUCAGUGAAUCAUCGAAUCUUUGAACGCACCUUGCACCCUUUGGCAUUCCGAAGGGUAUGCUCGUUUGAGUGUCAUUGUACUCUCACACUUCCAAUCUUUGGAUUGGGAGCAGUGGACUUGGGUGUUGCUGCUUACUGUGGCUCACCUCAAAUCGAUUCGUGCACCUCUUGGUUGGACAUAGUACGGCGUGAUAAGUGUCUUCGCCGGCACCUCAGUAGAGGGUGGCUGAUCAGGAGCUCUGUGCUUCAAACCGUCCUCGGACAAAAACUGACAACUUGACCUCAAAUCGAGUAGGACUACCCGCUGAACUUAAGCAUAUCAUAAGCGGAGGA